RNAcentral lists this long non-coding RNA (937 nucleotides) under Sus scrofa (pig). RNAcentral's name for it is "lncRNA (ENSSSCG00055005022.1)". The record is from RNAcentral. Lineage: Eukaryota; Metazoa; Chordata; Mammalia; Artiodactyla; Suidae.
AGGGUUAAAAGGGGGGGAAAGGGAUCCUAGGCUGAAAAAAGAAAAAAUGGGGAUUGUACCCACACUUAAGCACAACGACAGUCCCUUGUAUCUCCUUUGGUAAUGUAAAGGGAAUUAGGUGGGAAUGGGAUCCUAGGUUACAAAAAGAGGGGGACUAUGUGCAUUUAGCACAUUACCAUUCCCUUGAAACCUCUACGGUAAUGUAAUUCUUUAUGAGGGGAUAGAAUCCUAGACUAACGAAAGGGACAGCAGUGCAAUUAAGACCAUUAACAAGUCCCAUGCAGGCUCUGCAGCAAUGAAAAGGGAGAUAGGUGAGAAUGGGAUCCUAGGUUAUCAUAAGAGACUGUAGCUGUAUUUCAGCCCAUUAAGAGUCCCAAGUAUCCUUUGAAGCCAUGCAAAGGGCGUUAGUUGGGGCAUGAGAUUCUAGAUUAAUGUAAGAGAUUGUAGCUGCAUUUUAGCACAUUAACAGUCCAUUGUACCCCCCUUGGUAAUGCAAAUUGAGUAGGAGAGCUUGGGAAUCUAGACUAGUAGAAGGGACAGAGAAGAGCAAUGAAGCCCAUUAACAAGUCCCAUAUAGGCUCUGCAUCAAUGAGAAGAGUUAGGUGAGAAUGGGAUUCUAGCUUAACAUAAAGGACUGUAGCUGCAUUUAAGCACAUUGGUAGUCCAUUGUACAGUCUGUGGUUAUCAAAUCAUAUAAAAGAGGAUGGGAAUCUACACUAACAGAAGGUAACUGCAGUAAAGUUCACUAAUAGUCCCACAUAGGCUCUGCAGUUAUGAAAAGGGAGUUAGGUAGAAAUAGGAUGCUAGGUUAACACAAGAGCUGGAGCUCCACUUAAGCACAUAAAUAGUGCAUUACAGUCUCUUUAGUAAUGCAGAUAGAGUAGGAAGGCACGAGAAUCUAAACAAAUAAAAGGGACUAUAGCUCUAAUUAAGCCCA